Molecule: long non-coding RNA, 457 nt
Organism: Herpailurus yagouaroundi (jaguarundi)
Lineage: Eukaryota; Metazoa; Chordata; Mammalia; Carnivora; Felidae
Exons: 3
Source: RefSeq, a predicted model, not a curated record
AAGGUCAGUUUCAAGAGGACACUGGAUAGAUGACCAAGGUCACGUUUCAAGAGGACACUGGAUGGAUGACCAAGGUCACGUUUCAAGCAGAGAAGUUUAACUUUUUGUUCACAGAAUUAAGUUCAAGGGUCAGGUUUUGAUGUCACAAAUAAAACAGAAGCACAGUCUGCAUAUAGUUACAUCACUGAGUUAGAGACUAGCUGUAGCAAAAUUAGCCCUUUCUUAUGUAUUUGUUUCAUUUGUUUCUUAGAACAUUUUUACGGGAGGUAGAUUGUCGGCUUCUCUAAGUUUCCACAAAUAACGGUAUCAAUCAUGUCUUGAAAUAUGCCCUACUGUGAAGACUUGCUCCUUACUAUUCUUUUUGCCAAUAAUAAUUCUUUUUCCAUUUCAAAUUUUUAUUUAAAUUCCAGUCAGUUAACAUCAGCGCAAUAUUGGUUUCAGGAGUAGAACCCAGUGA